This 1256-nucleotide ribosomal RNA is filed under the name metagenome. RNAcentral describes it as "bacterial SSU rRNA". It matches the Rfam family "Bacterial small subunit ribosomal RNA", at positions 243 to 1520 of the family's 1533-position model. The record is from RNAcentral.
AGCUAGUUGGUAGGGUAACGGCCUACCAAGGCUGCGACGCGUAGCCGGACUGAGAGGUCGGUCGGCCACAUCGGGACUGAGACACUGCCCGGACUCCUACGGGGGGCUGCAGUAACGAAUCUUCCCCAAUGGGCGCAAGCCUGAGGGAGCGACGCCGCGUGGAGGAUGAAGUCCUUCGGGAUGUAAACUCCUGUCAGGGGUUAGAAAGUUCUGAUCAACCCCAGAGGAAGUGGCGACUAACUCUGUGCCAGCAGUCGCGGUAAGACAGAGGCCACAAGCGUUAGGCGGAAUCACUGGGCUUAAAGCGUGUGUAGGCGGGUCGUUAAGUGCCUUGUGAAAUCCCACGGCUCAACCGUGGAACUGCUGGGCAUACUGGCGAUCUUGAGCUCUCCAGGGGCCGCUGGAACAAACGGUGGAGCGGUGAAAUGCGUAGAUAUUGUUUGGAACGCCAAAGGUGAAAACAGGCGGCUGGGGAGAUGCUGACGCUGAGACACGAAAGCCAGGGGAGCAAACGGGAUUAGAUACCCCGGUAGUCCUGGCCCUAAACGAUGUCCACUAGACUAUGGAGGUAUGACGCCUUCGUGGCCGAAGCAAAAGUGUUAAGUGGACCGCCUGGGAAGUACGGUCGCAAGGCUAAAACUCAAAGGAAUUGACGGGGGCUCACACAAGCGGUGGAGCAUGUGGUUCAAUUCGAAGCAACGCGCAGAACCUUACCUGGGCUUGACAUACCUGGACUAUCCCUAUGAAAGUAGGGUAGGCCCUUCGGGGUACAACAGGAACAGGUGCUGCAUGGCUGUCGUCAUCUCGUGUCGUGAGAUGUCGGGUUAAGUCCCAUAACGAGCGAAACCUUUGCCCUUAGUUGCCAUCGGGUAAUGCCGGGAACUCUAAGGGGACUGCCGGUGUCAAACCGGAGGAAGGUGGAGAUGACGUCAAGUCCUCAUGGCCUUUAUGCCCAGGGCCACACACGUGCUACAAUGGGGCGGACAAAGCGACCCGAAAGCGCAAGCUUGGGGAAAACGCAGAAAACGUCCCUCAGUUCAGAUCGGAGGCUGCAACCCGCCUCCGUGAAGUUGGAAUCGCUAGUAAUCGCGGAUCAGCUACGCCGCGGUGAAUGUGUUCCUGAGCCUUGUACACACCGCCCGUCAAGUCAUGGGAGCCGGAAAUAGCCGAAGCCGCCUCGAUUCGGAGGUGUCUACGCUAGGUUCGGUGACUGGGACUAAGUCGUAACAAGGUAGCCGUAGGGGAACCUGCGGCUG